This 2543-nucleotide ribosomal RNA is filed under the name Vibrio cholerae. RNAcentral's name for it is "partial 23S ribosomal RNA". It matches the Rfam family "Bacterial large subunit ribosomal RNA", at positions 418 to 2925 of the family's 2925-position model. The record is from RNAcentral. Lineage: Bacteria; Pseudomonadati; Pseudomonadota; Gammaproteobacteria; Vibrionales; Vibrionaceae.
CGGGACACGUGAUAUCCUGUCUGAAUAUGGGGGGACCAUCCUCCAAGGCUAAAUACUCCUGACUGACCGAUAGUGAACCAGUACCGUGAGGGAAAGGCGAAAAGAACCCCUGUGAGGGGAGUGAAAUAGAACCUGAAACCGUGUACGUACAAGCAGUAGGAGCACCUUCGUGGUGUGACUGCGUACCUUUUGUAUAAUGGGUCAGCGACUUAUAUUCAGUGGCAAGGUUAACCGUAUAGGGGAGCCGUAGCGAAAGCGAGUCUUAACUGGGCGCUCAGUCUCUGGAUAUAGACCCGAAACCGGGUGAUCUAGCCAUGGGCAGGUUGAAGGUUGAGUAACAUCAACUGGAGGACCGAACCGACUAAUGUUGAAAAAUUAGCGGAUGACUUGUGGCUAGGGGUGAAAGGCCAAUCAAACUCGGAGAUAGCUGGUUCUCCCCGAAAGCUAUUUAGGUAGCGCCUCGGACGAAUACUACUGGGGGUAGAGCACUGUUAAGGCUAGGGGGUCAUCCCGACUUACCAACCCUUUGCAAACUCCGAAUACCAGUAAGUACUAUCCGGGAGACACACGGCGGGUGCUAACGUCCGUCGUGGAGAGGGAAACAACCCAGACCGCCAGCUAAGGUCCCAAAGUAUUGCUAAGUGGGAAACGAUGUGGGAAGGCUCAGACAGCUAGGAUGUUGGCUUAGAAGCAGCCAUCAUUUAAAGAAAGCGUAAUAGCUCACUAGUCGAGUCGGCCUGCGCGGAAGAUGUAACGGGGCUAAGCAAUACACCGAAGCUGCGGCAAUGUCUUUUAGACAUUGGGUAGGGGAGCGUUCUGUAAGCCGUUGAAGGUGAAUCGUAAGGUUUGCUGGAGGUAUCAGAAGUGCGAAUGCUGACAUGAGUAACGACAAAGGGGGUGAAAAACCUCCUCGCCGGAAGACCAAGGGUUCCUGUCCAACGUUAAUCGGGGCAGGGUGAGUCGACCCCUAAGGUGAGGCCGAAAGGCGUAAUCGAUGGGAAACGGGUUAAUAUUCCCGUACUUCUGACUAUUGCGAUGGGGGGACGGAGAAGGCUAGGUGGGCCAGGCGACGGUUGUCCUGGUUCAAGUGCGUAGGCUUGAGAGUUAGGUAAAUCCGGCUCUCUCUAAGGCUGAGACACGACGUCGAGCUACUACGGUAGUGAAGUCAUUGAUGCCAUGCUUCCAGGAAAAGCCUCUAAGCUUCAGAUAGUCAGGAAUCGUACCCCAAACCGACACAGGUGGUCGGGUAGAGAAUACCAAGGCGCUUGAGAGAACUCGGGUGAAGGAACUAGGCAAAAUGGUACCGUAACUUCGGGAGAAGGUACGCUCUUGAUGGUGAAGUCCCUCGCGGAUGGAGCUGACGAGAGUCGCAGAUACCAGGUGGCUGCAACUGUUUAUUAAAAACACAGCACUGUGCAAAAUCGCAAGAUGACGUAUACGGUGUGACGCCUGCCCGGUGCCGGAAGGUUAAUUGAUGGGGUUAGCGCAAGCGAAGCUCUUGAUCGAAGCCCCGGUAAACGGCGGCCGUAACUAUAACGGUCCUAAGGUAGCGAAAUUCCUUGUCGGGUAAGUUCCGACCUGCACGAAUGGCGUAAUGAUGGCCACGCUGUCUCCACCCGAGACUCAGUGAAAUUGAAAUCGCUGUGAAGAUGCAGUGUACCCGCGGCUAGACGGAAAGACCCCGUGAACCUUUACUACAGCUUGGCACUGAACAUUGAACCUACAUGUGUAGGAUAGGUGGGAGGCUAUGAAGACGUGACGCCAGUUGCGUUGGAGCCGUCCUUGAAAUACCACCCUUGUAUGUUUGAUGUUCUAACUUAGACCCAUUAUCUGGGUUGAGGACAGUGCCUGGUGGGUAGUUUGACUGGGGCGGUCUCCUCCCAAAGAGUAACGGAGGAGCACGAAGGUGGGCUAAUCACGGUUGGACAUCGUGAGGUUAGUGCAAUGGCAUAAGCCCGCUUAACUGCGAGAAUGACGGUUCGAGCAGGUGCGAAAGCAGGUCAUAGUGAUCCGGUGGUUCUGUAUGGAAGGGCCAUCGCUCAACGGAUAAAAGGUACUCCGGGGAUAACAGGCUGAUACCGCCCAAGAGUUCAUAUCGACGGCGGUGUUUGGCACCUCGAUGUCGGCUCAUCACAUCCUGGGGCUGAAGUCGGUCCCAAGGGUAUGGCUGUUCGCCAUUUAAAGUGGUACGCGAGCUGGGUUUAGAACGUCGUGAGACAGUUCGGUCCCUAUCUGCCGUGGGCGUUGGAAGAUUGAAGGGGGCUGCUCCUAGUACGAGAGGACCGGAGUGGACGAACCUCUGGUGUUCGGGUUGUGUCGCCAGACGCAUUGCCCGGUAGCUAAGUUCGGAAUUGAUAAGCGCUGAAAGCAUCUAAGCGCGAAGCGAGCCCUGAGAUGAGUCUUCCCUGACAGUUUAACUGUCCUAAAGGGUUGUUCGAGACUAGAACGUUGAUAGGCAGGGUGUGUAAGCGUUGUGAGGCGUUGAGCUAACCUGUACUAAUUGCCCGUGAGGCUUAACCAUACAACACCCAAGGGGUUUUGUA